This 1243-nucleotide ribosomal RNA is filed under the name metagenome. RNAcentral describes it as "SSU rRNA". It matches the Rfam family "Eukaryotic small subunit ribosomal RNA", at positions 167 to 1373 of the family's 1831-position model. The record is from RNAcentral.
CUAUGGGUGGGGGCAACUCUGCUCACUGGAAGGGAUGCACUUGUUAGCCUGGCAAGCCAAUGCGGGAAGCAAUUUCCGGAGAAUGGCGAGUCAUGACAAUUUUGCGAAUCGCAUGUCCUAGCGACGGCGAUGCACCAUUCAAAUUUCUGCCCUAUCAACUUUCGACGGUAGGAUCGGGGCCUACCAUGGUCGUAACGGGUAACGGGGAAUUAGGGUUUGAUUCCGGAGAGGGAGCUCGAGAAACGGCUACCACUUCCAAGGAAGGCAGCAGGCGCGCAAAUUACCCAAUGGCAAUACGCCGAGGUAGUGACAACAAAUAAGUAUGCAGGGUACUACGUACUUUGCAAUACGAAUGAGUACAAUCUAAACCCCUUAAUGAAAGCCACUGGAGGGCAAGUCUGGUGCCAGCAGCCGCGGUAAUUCCAGCUCCAGUAGCGUAUAUUAAAGCUGUUGCGGUUAAAAAGCUCGUAGUCGGAUUUCAAGAUUUGGAGUGGCCGGUCCGCGCGACCGCGUGAGCACUGGCUGCCUGAUCUAUCCACCAUCUGAAGGCUCGCCUCUGCUCUUCAUUGAGUGGGGGUUAACGGCUGGGGCGACCUGGCAUGAGUUUCAGAACGAUUACUUUGAAGAAAAUUAGAGUGUUCAAAGCAGGCGAAUACGCCUUGAAUACAUUAGCAUGGGAUAAUACCAUGGGACUCUGAGCCCAUUUCGUUGGUUUCUGAGCACGGAGUCACGAUCAACAGGGACAGUUGGGGUGAUUCAUAUUCUGGCGACAGGGGUGAAAUCCUAUGACCGGCGGAAGAUGAACUAGUGCGAAAGCAUUUCACAAGGAUGUUUUCAUUGAUCAAGAACGAAAGUUGAGGGAUCGAAGGCGAUCAGAUACCGCCCUAGUCUCAACCAUAAACCAUGCCGACCAGGGAUUAGGAGACGUUUCAAUUUGAAUAGACUUUCCUAGCACCUUGUGAGAAAUCACAAGUUUUUGGGCUUCGGGGGGAGUAUGGUCGCAAGGCUGAAACUUAAAGGAAUUGACGGAAGGGCACCACCAGGAGUGGAGCCUGCGGCUUAAUUCGACCCAACACGGGAAAACUCACCAGGUCCAGACAAUGGAAGGAUGUACAGACUUGAAGAUCUUUAUAGAUUCGUUGGGUGGUGGUGCAUGGCCGUUCUUGGUUCGUGUGAUGACUUGUCUGGUUAAUUCCGAUAACGAGCGAGACCUCAACCUGCUAAAUAGUUUUUGUUAGGGUAC